UGGGGAAUCUUGGACAAUGGGCGCAAGCCUGAUCCAGCCAUGCCGCGUGAGUGAUGAAGGCCCUAGGGUUGUAAAACUCUUUCGUGGGGGACGAUAAUGACGGUACCCCAAGAAGAAGCUCCGGCUAACUUCGUGCCAGCAGCCGCGGUAAUACGAAGGGGGCUAGCGUUGUUCGGAUUUACUGGGCGUAAAGCGCGUGUAGGCGGGCUGGAAAGUUGGGGGUGAAAUCCCGAGGCUCAACCUCGGAACUGCCUCCAAAACUUCCAGCCUGGACUCAAGCAGAGGCAAGUGGAAUUGCGAGUGUAGAGGUGAAAUUCGUAGAUAUUCGCAGGAACACCAGUGGCGAAGGCGACUUGCUGGGCUUGUAGUGACGCUGAGACGCGAAAGCGUGGGGAGCAAACAG
RNAcentral lists this ribosomal RNA (403 nucleotides) under uncultured organism. RNAcentral describes it as "bacterial SSU rRNA". It matches the Rfam family "Bacterial small subunit ribosomal RNA", at positions 355 to 775 of the family's 1533-position model. The record is from RNAcentral.